This 562-nucleotide ribosomal RNA is filed under the name uncultured bacterium. Its description in RNAcentral is "partial 16S ribosomal RNA". It matches the Rfam family "Bacterial small subunit ribosomal RNA", at positions 355 to 1375 of the family's 1533-position model. The record is from RNAcentral.
UGGGGAAUCUUGCGCAAUGGGCGAAAGCCUGACGCAGCCAUGCCGCGUGAAUGAUGAAGGUCUUAGGAUUGUAAAAUUCUUUCACCGGGGACGAUAAUGACGGUACCCGGAGAAGAAGCCCCGGCUAACUUCGUGCCAGCAGCCGCGGUAAUACGAAGGGGGCUAGCGUUGCUCGGAAUUACUGGGCGUAAAGGGAGCGUAGGCGGACAUUUAAGUCAGGGGUGAAAUCCCGGGGCUCAACCUCGGAACUGCCUUUGAUACUGGGUGUCUUGAGUGUGAUAGAGGUAUGUGGAACUCCGAGUGUAGAGGUGAAAUUCGUAGAUAUUCGGAAGAACACCAGUGGCGAAGGCGACAUACUGGAUCAUUACUGACGCUGAGGCUCGAAAGCGUGGGGAGCAAACAGGAUUAGAUACCCUGGUAGUCCACGCCGUAAACGAUGAUUGCUAGUUGUCGGGGGUGUUUACACCUCGUGAGCGCAGCUAACGCAUUAAGCAAUCCGCCUGGGGGAGUACGGUCGCAAGAUUAAAACUCAAAGGAAUUGACGGGGUCAUAGCUGUUUCCU